This is an unclassified non-coding RNA of Crocodylus porosus (Australian saltwater crocodile), 196 nucleotides long. NCBI's taxonomy places the organism in Eukaryota, Metazoa, Chordata, Crocodylia, Crocodylidae. The record is from Ensembl.
UUGACGGUAACAGAGGCUGAAGCCCUCUUCUCAUCCGCAGGUCAGGUACAGUGUGGGCAAGUGCACUGUAGACUUCCUUACACUGCUCCACCAGUGCACCUCAAAGCAGACAUGGAAGGACCGCUAUCUAAUAGGGGUGAGAAGGUAAACGCAGUCCCUCUUUCAGGCUCCGAGUCCCAGCGUGUGCAUAGCAUCA